RNAcentral lists this ribosomal RNA (253 nucleotides) under uncultured bacterium. Its description in RNAcentral is "partial 16S ribosomal RNA". It matches the Rfam family "Bacterial small subunit ribosomal RNA", at positions 524 to 776 of the family's 1533-position model. The record is from RNAcentral.
UACGUAGGGUGCAAGCGUUGUCCGGAAUUAUUGGGCGUAAAGAGCUCGUAGGCGGUCUGUCGCGUCUGCUGUGAAAACUCGGGGCUUAACCCCGGGCCUGCAGUGGGUACGGGCAAACUAGAGUGCGGUAGGGGAGACUGGAAUUCCUGGUGUAGCGGUGAAAUGCGCAGAUAUCAGGAGGAACACCGGUGGCGAAGGCGGGUCUCUGGGCCGUAACUGACGCUGAGGAGCGAAAGCGUGGGGAGCGAACAGG